AGUGAACGCUGGCGGUAGGCCUAACACAUGCAAGUCGAACGGCAGCACAGUAAGAGCUUGCUCUUACGGGUGGCGAGUGGCGGACGGGUGAGGAAUACAUCGGAAUCUACUUUUUCGUGGGGGAUAACGUAGGGAAACUUACGCUAAUACCGCAUACGACCUACGGGUGAAAGCAGGGGAUCUUCGAACCUUCCUGGAUUGAAUGAGCCGAUGCCGGUUUAGCUAGUUGGCGGGGUAAAGCCCCACCAAGCCGAGGAUCCGUAGCUGGUCUGCGAGGAUGAUCAGCCACACUGGAACUGAGACACGGUCCAGACUCCUACGGGAGGCAGCAGUGGGGAAUAUUGGACAAUGGGCGCAAGCCUGAUCCAGCCAUACCGCGUGGGUGAAGAAGGCCUUCGGGUUGUAAAGCCCUUUUGUUGGGAAAGAAAAGCAGCAGGUUAAUACCCCGCUGUUCUGACGGUACCCAAAGAAUAAGCACCGGCUAACUUCGUG
This 492-nucleotide ribosomal RNA is filed under the name uncultured bacterium. Its description in RNAcentral is "partial 16S ribosomal RNA". It matches the Rfam family "Bacterial small subunit ribosomal RNA", at positions 29 to 507 of the family's 1533-position model. The record is from RNAcentral.